CCUACGGGAGGCAGCAGUGAGGAAUAUUGGUCAAUGGACGAGAGUCUGAACCAGCAAAGUAGCGUGAAGGAUGACUGCCCUAUGGGUUGUAAACUUCUUUUAUAUGGGAAUAAAAUGUUCCACGUGUGGGAUUUUGUAUGUACCAUAUGAAUAAGGAUCGGCUAACUCCGUGCCAGCAGCCGCGGUAAUACGGAGGAUCCGAGCGUUAUCCGGAUUUAUUGGGUUUAAAGGGAGCGUAGGUGGAUUGUUAAGUCAGUUGGGAAAGUUUGCGGCUCAACCGUAAAAUUGCAGUUGAAACUGGCAGUCUUGAGUACAGUAGAGGUGGGCGGAAUGCGUGGUGUAGCGGUGAAAUGCUUAGAUAUCACGAAGAACGCCGAUUGCGAAGGCAGCUCACUGGACUGCAACUGACACUGAGGCUCGAAAGUGUGGGUAUCAAACAGGAUUAGAUACCCGGGUAGUC
RNAcentral lists this ribosomal RNA (460 nucleotides) under uncultured bacterium. RNAcentral's name for it is "partial 16S ribosomal RNA". It matches the Rfam family "Bacterial small subunit ribosomal RNA", at positions 338 to 795 of the family's 1533-position model. The record is from RNAcentral.